CCUUCGUUUCCUCGGCGGGUCCGCCCGCCGAUUGGACAACAUUCAAACCCUUUGCAGUUGCAAUCAGCGUCUGAAAAAACAUAAUAGUUACAACUUUCAACAACGGAUCUCUUGGUUCUGGCAUCGAUGAAGAACGCAGCGAAAUGCGAUAAGUAGUGUGAAUUGCAGAAUUCAGUGAAUCAUCGAAUCUUUGAACGCACAUUGCGCCCCUUGGUAUUCCAUGGGGCAUGCCUGUUCGAGCGUCAUUUGUACCUUCAAGCUCUGCUUGGUGUUGGGUGUUUGUCUCGCCUCUGCGUGUAGACUCGCCUUAAAACAAUUGGCAGCCGGCGUAUUGAUUUCGGAGCGCAGUACAUCUCGCGCUUUGCACUCAUAACGACGACGUCCAAAAGUACAUUUUUACACUCUUGACCUCGGAUCAGGUAGGGAUACCCGCUGAACUUAAGCAUAUCAAUAAGCAGGA
This 460-nucleotide ribosomal RNA is filed under the name Epicoccum nigrum. RNAcentral's name for it is "eukaryotic LSU rRNA". The stretch from base 92 to 245 matches the Rfam family "5.8S ribosomal RNA". Lineage: Eukaryota; Fungi; Ascomycota; Dothideomycetes; Pleosporales; Didymellaceae. The record is from RNAcentral.